Molecule: ribosomal RNA, 506 nt
Filed under: uncultured bacterium
Lineage: Bacteria
Description: bacterial SSU rRNA
Rfam family: Bacterial small subunit ribosomal RNA
Source: RNAcentral
UAGUCCACGCCGUAAACGAUCAUCACUCGCUGUUGGCGAUAUACUGUCAGCGGCCAAGCGAAAGUAUUAAGUGAUGCACCUGGGGAGUACGCCGGCAACGGUGAAACUCAAAGGAAUUGACGGGGGCCCGCACAAGCGGUGGAGCAUGUGGUUUAAUUCGAUGAUACGCGAGGAACCUUACCAGGGCUUAAAUGUAGUAUGACCGGCUUGGAAACAGGCCUUCUCUUCGGAGCAGAUUACAAGGUGCUGCAUGGUUGUCGUCAGCUCGUGCCGUGAGGUGCUAGGUUAAGUCCUGCAACGAGCGCAACCCCUAUUCUUAGUUGCCAGCGGUUCGGCCGGGGACUCUAAAAGACUGCCAGCGCAAGCUGAGAGGAAGGUGGGGAUGACGUCAAAUCAUCACGGCCCUUACGUCCUGGGCUGCACACGUACUACAAUGCCUGGCACAAAAGGAAGCAAGACCGCAAGGUGGAGCAAAUCCCCAAAACCAGGCUCAGUUCGGAUUGUUG